UGGGGAAUAUUGCACAAUGGGGGAAACCCUGAUGCAGCGACGCCGCGUGAGCGAUGAAGUAUUUCGGUAUGUAAAGCUCUAUCAGCAGGGAAGAAAAUGACGGUACCUGACUAAGAAGCCCCGGCUAACUACGUGCCAGCAGCCGCGGUAAUACGUAGGGGGCAAGCGUUAUCCGGAUUUACUGGGUGUAAAGGGAGCGUAGACGGAGCAGCAAGUCUGAUGUGAAAGGCGGGGGCUCAACCCCGCAGCUGCAUUGGAAACUGUUGAUCUUGAGUACCGGAGAGGUAAGCGGAAUUCCUAGUGUAGCGGUGAAAUGCGUAGAUAUUAGGAGGAACACCAGUGGCGAAGGCGGCCUACUGGGCACUAACUGACGCUGAGGCUCGAAAGCAUGGGUAGCAAACAGGAUUAGAUACC
RNAcentral lists this ribosomal RNA (414 nucleotides) under uncultured bacterium. RNAcentral's name for it is "bacterial SSU rRNA". It matches the Rfam family "Bacterial small subunit ribosomal RNA", at positions 355 to 786 of the family's 1533-position model. The record is from RNAcentral.